This 945-nucleotide ribosomal RNA is filed under the name uncultured Bacillota bacterium. RNAcentral describes it as "bacterial SSU rRNA". It matches the Rfam family "Bacterial small subunit ribosomal RNA", at positions 1 to 917 of the family's 1533-position model. The record is from RNAcentral. Lineage: Bacteria; Bacillati; Bacillota.
UGGAUCCAGACUUUGAUAUGGCUCAGGACGAACGCUGGCGGCGUGCUUAACACAUGCAAGUCGAACGAGAAGAGAUGAGAAGCUUGCUUCUUAUCGAUUCGAGUGGCAAACGGGUGAGUAACGCGUAAGCAACCUGCCCUCUAGAUGGGGACAACAGCUGGAAACGGCUGCUAGUACCGAAUACGUUCUUUCUGUCGCAUGGCAGAAGGAAGAAAGGGAGGCUCUUCGGAGCUUUCGCUGGAGGAGGGGCUUGCGUCUGAUUAGCUAGUUGGAGGGGUAACGGCCCACCAAGGCGACGAUCAGUAGCCGGUCUGAGAGGAUGAACGGCCACAUUGGGACUGAGACACGGCCCAGACUCCUACGGGAGGCAGCAGUGGGGAAUCUUCCGCAAUGGACGAAAGUCUGACGGAGCAACGCCGCGUGAACGAUGACGGCCUUCGGGUUGUAAAGUUCUGUUAUACGGGACGAAUGGUACGACGGCCAAUACCCGUCGUAAGUGACGGUACCGUAAGAGAAAGCCACGGCUAACUACGUGCCAGCAGCCGCGGUAAUACGUAGGUGGCAAGCGUUGUCCGGAAUUAUUGGGCGUAAAGGGCGCGCAGGCGGCGUCGUAAGUCGGUCUUAAAAGUGCGGGGCUUAACCCCGUGAGGGGACCGAAACUGCGAUGCUAGAGUAUCGGAGAGGAAAGCGGAAUUCCUAGUGUAGCGGUGAAAUGCGUAGAUAUUAGGAGGAACACCAGUGGCGAAAGCGGCUUUCUGGACGACAACUGACGCUGAGGCGCGAAAGCCAGGGGAGCAAACGGGAUUAGACACCCCGGUAGUCCUGGCCGUAAACGAUGGAUACUAGGUGUAGGAGGUAUCGACCCCUUCUGUGCCGGAGUUAACGCAAUAAGUAUCCCGCCUGGGGAGUACGGCCGCAAGGCUGCAACUCAAAUGAAUUGACGGA